GUCAGCUGCCUCUGACCUAGAAUUAAUGUUUUAAAGAGGUUAGAACUUGUAAAAGUUCAAGUUGACUAGCCUAAGUGUCUUGAACACUACGUUAUUUCUGUUAUCACACCUGCAAAUGAUACCCUAGUUUGCAGCUCUGUGCAGGCUCUGUAAACAACUCUGUGAGGUAGGAGUAGUCAACCUGAAGUCUCCGAUUACGGGAAGCAGUUCUAACAUUGGCGAAGGGUAACAAAC
Molecule: non-coding RNA, 234 nt
Organism: Firmicutes bacterium CAG:227
Lineage: Bacteria; Bacillati; Bacillota
Rfam family: HNH endonuclease-associated RNA and ORF (HEARO) RNA
Source: Rfam